UACGGGGGGAGCAAGCGUUGUUCGGAUUUACUGGGCGUAAAGGGCGCGUAGGCGGCCAGCACAAGUCAGUUGUGAAAUCUCCGAGCUUAACUCGGAAAGGUCAACUGAUACUGUGCGGCUAGAGUGCGGAAGGGGCAACUGGAAUUCUUGGUGUAGCGGUGAAAUGCGUAGAUAUCAAGAGGAACACCUGCGGCGAAGGCGGGUUGCUGGGCCGACACUGACGCUGAGGCGCGAAAGCCAGGGAGCGAACGGG
Molecule: ribosomal RNA, 253 nt
Filed under: uncultured bacterium
Lineage: Bacteria
Description: partial 16S ribosomal RNA
Rfam family: Bacterial small subunit ribosomal RNA
Source: RNAcentral